Salmo salar (Atlantic salmon) is the source of this 5494-nucleotide non-coding RNA. Lineage: Eukaryota; Metazoa; Chordata; Actinopteri; Salmoniformes; Salmonidae. The record is from RefSeq and is a predicted model, not a curated record.
GCAUGCCUGCGCUUUGCUGUCCUCUGCUGUUCGGUCGUUGAUGAUGCUGAAGAGAGAGAGCGCGGCGCUCGUACAUUUUUAUGAGACACCACAGUCCACCGCAAUUCAGAGUCGUAGGCUACAGAACAGGAAACGCACUGGAAAUGUAACGAUGGAUAGAUAAUCUCGAUCGUUUGGCAUUGCUCGGACAGCAAUAACGAACGACAGCGGACAUACAGCGUGUGCAAUUUGUCAAAGAAUGAUAGAGGAGGGCAGUAAACGAGGCAAAGCGAUGGUGGAGAAGAGACAACUCUUCAUGGAGAUGAGGGCACAAAACUUUGACGUCAUCAGGCUGUCAACCUAUAGGACGGCCUGCAAGCUAAGAUUUGUGCAGAAGAGAUGCAACCUUCACUUGGUGGAUGUGUGGAACAUGAUUGAGGCGUUCCGUGAUAGUGGUCUAAACACGCUGGACCACAACGCAGAGAUCAACGUGUCUAGACUGGAGACUAUCCUGUCCUCGAUCUACUACCAGCUCAAUAAGCGUCUGCCCACCACACACCAGAUCAACGUAGAGCAGUCCAUCGGCCUGCUGCUCAACUUCAUGGUGGCCACAUACGACAGUGAAGGCCACGGGAAACUGACCGUUUUCUCGAUGAAGUCCAUGUUGGCAACCAUGUGUGGAGGGAAAAUAGUGGACAAACUACGUUAUAUCUUCUCCCAGAUCUCUGACUCGAAUGGUGUGAUGGCCUUUGCUAAGUUUGACCAGUUUCUGAGGGAGGUUCUAAAGCUGCCCACAGCUGUGUUCGAGGGCCCGUCGUUUGGAUACACAGAACACUCCGUACGGACAUGCUUCCCUCAACAGAAGAAGAUCUUGCUGAACACGUUUUUGGACAUUUUGAUGGCAGAUCCUCCCCCCCAGUGCCUCGUGUGGCUACCUCUCAUGCACCGGCUCGCUAAUGUUGAAAAUGUCUUCCAUCCCGUGGAAUGUUCCUAUUGCCGGAGUGAAAGUAUGAUGGGGUUCCGUUACCGGUGCCAACAGUGCCAUGGCUACCAACUCUGUCAGAGCUGCUUCUGGCGUGGCCAUGCCAACGGUCCCCAUAGCAACCAGCAUCAAAUGAAGGAGCACUCCUCUUGGAAGUCUCCGGCUAAAAAGCUGAGCCACGCCAUCAGUAAGUCUCUAGGCUGUGUCCCCAUUGGAGAGCCACCUCACCCAAUGUUCCCUGAGCAGUCAGAGAAACCGCAGGACACCAUGGCCCACACUGUUCAGCAGAAGCCAGUGGCCAACAAUAUGAACAACACAAUGCUCAUGUCGUCUGGGGCACCUACUCCUACUAAAAGUGUCUUGGAGAGUCCCAGCAGGCUAGACGAGGAGCAUCGUCUGAUUGCUCGCUAUGCAGCGCGCCUGGCAGCUGAGGCAGGCAACUCCACAGUGAGUAGCUCCACAGUGAGUAGCUCCACACAAUGUCCUCCAACAGAUCUGAGUUUCAACUUUGAUGCCAACAAACAACAGAGGCAGCUAAUAGCAGAACUAGAGAACAAGAACAGGUCCCUCAGAGAGAUCCUUCAGGAGAUCCAGCGACUGCGUCUGGAGCAUGAGCAGGCCUCCCAGCCCACCCCCGAGAAGGCCCAGCAAAACCCCACACUGCUGGCCGAACUCAGGCUCCUUAGGCACAGGAAGGAUGAGCUGGAGAGGCGCAUGUCAGCCCUACAGGAGAGCAGACGGGAACUGAUGGUCCAGCUCGAGGGACUGAUGAGGCUACUCAAGGAUGAGGAGCAGAAGCAGGCAGCCCAGACAGGAGGCUCACCCCACUCUUCCCCCAGCCAUGGGGCAGGCUGCUCCAUGCCCAUGCCAAUCCGCUCCACCUCAGCUGGGUCCACCCCCACCCACACACCCCAGGACUGCCUUGCCGGGGUGGGGGGGGACGUGCUGGAGGCCUUCGCUCACGGUGUACCUAGAAAUCUUCGUAAUGAUCUGUUGGUCGCUGCAGAUUCAAUCACAAACACCAUGUCAUCACUCGUCAAGGAACUCCACUCAGUAGAUGAUGCUGCAGAGGAAGAGGACAACAACAUGAGGAACGGAGGCCUAAGGGACAGGGCCGAGGCAGAAUGAAAGGAGUGGGAAAAGCACAGUGAGAGAAGUAAAGCAUCGAGGGAGCAACAACCACUCCAUCUAUACCGGAUGUCAGACUGGACAUGACUGGAAAAGAAGAAUCCAAAUGAGAAUCAGUCACAACAACCAAACCCUUCUAUCAGGCAUAAGCACGUAGAGUAAUGCAUGCUGUUAUCAAACAGGAUUUCACUAUGUGAACUACUAUCAAACAUGUUUAUUACACCUUGCUGCGGAAAAAAAGCAAGAUGCUUCUAUUAGCGAGUGUAUAUGUUGUUCUGUAUAAAAACUUAAAGCUGUAAUUAUUAUGUAUUGAUUGAUUCCCCUCAUCGUGACUGCAACGGUCAAAGGUCUAAGGAGUGGCUUGCUGUGCUUUCUCUCGACCUGUAUUGUCAAUAACAGACCAUUCUGUGUGCAUACCAAAUGGCACCCUAUUCCCUAUAUCGUGCAGUACUUUUGACCAGUGCCCUAAAGGCCCUGUUCAAAAGUAGUGUACUACAUAAGGAAUAGAGUGCCAUUUGGAACGCUGUCUAUCUAUCUGUAUAUACUGUACACAUUAUACAUGACCUUGGGAACACAGCACUGACCAUGACCUGAAAGCAACCUAUUUUCAUGAUGUUGCUAUGAUCCCUAGCCUUCAUUGCUUUUGUAUCAUUAGAGACGGCUAGCUAGUAUGUUUUCAUUAGGGGUUUUGCAUGAAGUUGCACUGUCCUGAGUCUGACUGGGUGUACUGUAGGUAGGUAGGUAGGUAGGUAGGUAGGUAGGUAGGUAGGUAGGUACCAUGUUAUGCCAGCUCUUUGUGGGUUUAUCAGUGUUUCUCAACCUGUGGUCCGCAGGCCAGCACUGGUCCCAAUGAUGUUGCUGAUCGGUCCCUCAGAUAGUGAGCUGAAACUGAUUUAGUCAGUUCUCAAGUGCCAGUUUUAAUCUAAGUGGUCUUCAUUGGAGGAAGGGCCGUAGCUGGUCCUUGCAGUUCCCUGGUACAAAAAAGUUAGAGAAACGCUUGGUUCUAAUGACUGCUAGGAUCUGUAGUCCUGUAUAUUGUCAUUCCUCUGAAUUCACAUCGGCCGUUCCCCAAAUGGCACCCUAUUCCCUAUAUAGUACACUACAUUUGACCAAGGCCUAUAGGGCUCUGGUCAAAAGUAGUACACUAUAUAGGGAAUAGGGUGUCAUUUAGGACAGCCUGAGUCACAUACUGCUGCUACUGCGUGCUCACUCUAUGUCGUGAGACACCCUUGCAAAAAUAUGAGGGCUGUUUGUUUGUUUGGUUAAAGGGAGCCUAGUAUGGGGGCUGUUGUUGUCAAUGCUAAAUGUUUAAUUUCAUCAGGGAAUCGUCCCUUUGUUAGAAACAGAUUUAUUAUUCUCCUCGUUUUGUCUCUAUAAAAAAUUAACUAAGCGAGAGAAGCUAGUAAAUGCAUCUUAAAGAGCAUUAAAACUGCAUGGUUCUUCGUCCCUAAUCCACUAACUAGUCACUCAGUAGUAACAGUAUUUAUUGUCCACGUAAAGAGACGGAGAGCACCUCAGGACGUUAGUUUAAAUGAAUAUUAUUACAUUGUGUGCUCUUUCGUUCAAAUAUGUUGAGUUACAACAUAUCCACCUAUACACCUGUACAUAGGUGAGGACAGGCGGUACAGAAAUCAGAGUUAUGCACAGAUAAGAGUUGCUUUGAUAGCUUUAUUUAGUUAAAAGAAAUGAGGACUGGAACAUGUUUAUGUGAGAGUUAAUAGAUAGGUGCUCAGGGACUGUAGAGGUAGAUGGAAUGUGGUGGUGGCUGCCUGUGUCCCAAAUGGCACCCCAUUCCCUACAUAGUGCACUACUUUUGACCAGGGCUAAUAGGCCCUGGUCAAAAGUAGUGCACUAUAUAGGGAAUAGGAUGCCAUUUGGGAUGCAUAAUCUGUGCUGUUAACGAUUAUGAGUCAGUAGCCUAGGCCCUAAUGGGUUCCAGACCUGUGUCUGUAGGGGUCAGAGGUCAGUGACUGAUCAUAAAAGAGCCUGAAGGGAGCAGACAGCAAACCUGUGUCUCAAUAAUCUGACUUUCUCCAAAAAGGUGCACUCAAGCACUCUUCCCCACACAUUCAAAAGCAUUGAAUUGGUGUGAGCAUAGACUAAAGUAGAAUUUCCACCAUAUGUAUUCUAUAGGUUCAUUCCUUUUAAAUAAACUGAGUGUACAAAACAUUAGGGACACCUUCCUAACAUUGAGUCGCCCCCCCCCACCCCACCUUUCGCCCUCAGAACAGCCUCAAUUUGUCAGGGCAUGGACACUACAAGGUGUCGAAAGCAUUCCACAGGGAUGCAGGCCCAUGUUGUGUCAAUUUGGCUGGAAGUCCUUGGUGGUGGACCAUUCUUGAUACAAAUGGGAAACUGUUGAGCGUGAAAACCCCCAGCAGCGAUGCGGUUCUUGACACACUCAAACCAGUGUGCCUAGCGUGUAACAGAUGUUAAUCAUACUCUCCUUGCGUUGUGUUUUGUCCAAAUAAAUCACCCCAGCCAGUGGUCCCAGUUGAGCAUUAUUUAUUAUCUGUUGUUAAAUAGGAAACAGGACGUUAGUUGUGCAGGGCUUAAUGAUGUUGAUUGCUGUCGAUGGUAAAAUCCCUUGCAUUACAUUUUCAUACUGGGCAUUAACAAAAUACAAUACAAAAUAUAACGUGUAAAUACCUGUGGUUAAAUAGGAAAUGGCAUGCUAGUUGUGUAGGACUUAAUGAUGUUGAUGGCUGUCGAUGGUUAAAUCUGUAGCAUGAAAACAACUGUGUUAGCAGUGAGUUUAUGUGACCAUUACAUCGGUGCGUGCUAGCUAAUACAGCAAUCAUAUACCAAAGCACAUCCCGGAAAGCCCCCCAUCCCUAACAGGUACCAUAUUCCCACUCAUGUAACAAUCAGAAAUGUACAGCAAACUUGUACACAUUGUAAAAUAUAAAUAGAAUACAGUAUUCAGAACGUGACCUACCCCUUACAUCACAUUUUCAUACUGGGGAGACCUGACGUUCGCGAUCUCCCCCUCAUCUGCAAGCGGGGCCAAUAACAACAUUGUCAUCAGAACUGAACCAACCAAUAAGAAUGCUUGAACAUUAAAUACACAUUUCUUUAGAGGCAAGUGGAACCAUAACCAACUCUGUUACACCUGGCACCUACUACCAUACCCCAUUCAAAGGCACUUAAAUAUUUUGUCUUGCCCAUUCACCAUCUGAAUGGCACAUAUACACAAUCCAUGUAUCAGUUGUCUCAUAGGCUUAAAAAACAUUAUUUUAACUUGUCCACUCCCCUUCAUCUACACCGGUUGAAGUGGAUUUAACAGGUGACAUUAAUAAGGGAUCGUAGCUUUCACCUGGAUUCACCUGGUCAGUCUUAUGUCAUGGAAAGAGAAGGUGUUCCUAAGGUUUUGUGCACUCGGUGUAUAUGAAGGGCGGUGAACAU